Molecule: ribosomal RNA, 491 nt
Filed under: uncultured bacterium
Lineage: Bacteria
Description: bacterial SSU rRNA
Rfam family: Bacterial small subunit ribosomal RNA
Source: RNAcentral
GAUGAACGCUAGCGACAGGCCUAACACAUGCAAGUCGAGGGGCAGCACAAGGAGCAAUCUGAGGUGGCGACCGGCGCACGGGUGAGUAACACGUAUGCAACCUGCCUGUAAGCGGGGGAUAACCCGUUGAAAGACGGACUAAUACCGCAUAAUACUGGAGAUCUGCAUGGAUAUUCAGUUAAACAUUUAUGGCUUACAGAUGGGCAUGCGCAUGAUUAGAUAGUUGGAGAGGUAACGGCUCCCCAAGUCAACGAUCAUUAGGGGUUCUGAGAGGAAGGUCCCCCACACUGGUACUGAGACACGGACCAGACUCCUACGGGAGGCAGCAGUGAGGAAUAUUGGUCAAUGGACGCAAGUCUGAACCAGCCACGUCGCGUGAAGGAAGACGGCCCUACGGGUUGUAAACUUCUUUUGUAAGGGAAUAAAGUGUAGUACGCGUACUAUUUUGCAUGUACCUUACGAAUAAGGAUCGGCUAACUCCGUGCCAGCAG